GACGAACGCUGGCGGCGUGCUUAACACAUGCAAGUGGGGCGACGAACCAGGCUUCGGCCUGGGGCAAAGCCGCGAACGGGUGGGUAACACGUGGAUAACCUGCCCUGAAGACCGGGACAACCCGGGGAAACCCGAGCUAAUACCGGAUGUGGUCAUCGUCCAUAAGGACGGUGAGCAAAGGAAGCUUCGGCCUCCGCUUCGGGAGGGGUCCGCGGCCCAUUAGCUUGUUGGUGAGGUAACGGCUCACCAAGGCAACGANGGGUAGCUGGUCUGAGAGGACGAUCAGCCACACUGGGACUGAGACACGGCCCAGACUCCUACGGGAGGCAGCAGUGGGGAAUCUUGCGCAAUGCGCGAAAGCGUGACGCAGCAACGCCGCGUGGGUGAAGAAGGCUUUC
This 398-nucleotide ribosomal RNA is filed under the name uncultured bacterium. RNAcentral describes it as "bacterial SSU rRNA". It matches the Rfam family "Bacterial small subunit ribosomal RNA", at positions 28 to 419 of the family's 1533-position model. The record is from RNAcentral.